UACGAACCGUCCAAACGUUAUUCGGAAUCACUGGGCUUAAAGGGUGCGUAGGCGGCCAUGUAAGUGAGGUGUGAAAUCCCUCGGCUCAACCGAGGAACUGCGCUUCAUACUGCAUGGCUUGAGGGAGACAGGGGUAAGCGGAACUGAUGGUGGAGCGGUGAAAUGCGUUGAUAUCAUCAGGAACACCGGUGGCGAAAGCGGCUUACUGGGUCUCUUCUGACGCUGAGGUACGAAAGCUAGGGUAGCGAACGGG
Molecule: ribosomal RNA, 253 nt
Filed under: uncultured bacterium
Lineage: Bacteria
Description: partial 16S ribosomal RNA
Rfam family: Bacterial small subunit ribosomal RNA
Source: RNAcentral